RNAcentral lists this ribosomal RNA (497 nucleotides) under uncultured bacterium. RNAcentral's name for it is "partial 16S ribosomal RNA". It matches the Rfam family "Bacterial small subunit ribosomal RNA", at positions 28 to 507 of the family's 1533-position model. The record is from RNAcentral.
GACGAACGCUGGCGGCGUGCCUAAUACAUGCAAGUUGAGCGCUGAAGGUUGGUACUUGUACCAACUGGAUGAGCAGCGAACGGGUGAGUAACGCGUGGGGAAUCUGCCUUUGAGCGGGGGACAACAUUUGGAAACGAAUGCUAAUACCGCAUAAAAACUUUAAACACAAGUUUUAAGUUUGAAAGAUGCAAUUGCAUCACUCAAAGAUGAUCCCGCGUUGUAUUAGCUAGUUGGUGAGGUAAAGGCUCACCAAGGCGAUGAUACAUAGCCGACCUGAGAGGGUGAUCGGCCACAAUGGGACUGAGACACGGCCCAAACUCCUACGGGAGGCAGCAGUAGGGAAUCUUCGGCAAUGGACGAAAGUCUGACCGGGCAACGCCGCGUGAGUGAAGAAGGUUUUCGGAUCGUAAAACUCUGUUGGUAGAGAAGAACGUUGGUGGGAGUGGAAAGCGCAUCAAGUGACGGUAACUACCCAGAAAGGGACGGCUAACUACGUG